CGCUAUGGAUUUAAAGAUUUAAUCAGACAGGACUCCAGCUGCUUAGAUUUAUCUCUCUUCAUGUUGCUCAUCCGAGUCACUCUGGCAUAAGUGAUGCAACUGAGUAGUGUCAACCACAAACAUCUAAAUCAUUUUGAGAGCUACAAACUCUAUCCCACUUGAAGGACACGUGGAAAGCUUUGUCAUGGCAGUGGCUGCUGCUUUGUUGAUGCCUGAGCUAGCUAGAGAGCACAGAGUUGUGCACGUUGGUUUGCCUUGCACAGUCCUGUUCAAAGAGAGACAGUUUCCUGGCAAACAUGCAUCCUGCUGCCUGGGUGCAGUGUUUUCCCUGGACAGAGCUGCUGUUGGAAAGUUGGCAGAAGGACCCUGAAGGGUGGUUCUUCAGGAAGCUGUACCUACAGGAGACUGAAGCAGUCUUCUUUGAGGAUGAAGGUGGAGAACAUCAAGGACUGAAGGUGUUUAUGGAAAGCGUGUUUAUGGAAAAGGCUUUUGACAAACUUGAAAAAGAGAAGGGAAGAAAUUUCACUGGGGAAUUUCAUGGAAGUAUUUUGCCAUUCUCACAUGAUGCAAUCACCAGCAGACUGUUCUUUUCUGUAAUGAAGGUGAAUGUAAAGGGGAACUGAAGAC
This is a long non-coding RNA of Pyrgilauda ruficollis (rufous-necked snowfinch), 627 nucleotides long. RefSeq lists it as uncharacterized. Lineage: Eukaryota; Metazoa; Chordata; Aves; Passeriformes; Passeridae. The transcript has 4 exons. The record is from RefSeq and is a predicted model, not a curated record.